UUUCCUCUACCUUACUCCAAGGGCUCUCUGACCAGUAGAGUGCCUUGGCAUUGCCUGAGGAUAUAUUGAAAUCAUGCUCAUAUCCCUCCCCAGUAGGAUUCUUGGGUUUCCUUUGGGGCCUACAGUUUGAGCAAACAUU
This is a small nucleolar RNA of Rhineura floridana, 139 nucleotides long. RefSeq annotates it as small nucleolar RNA SNORA49. NCBI's taxonomy places the organism in Eukaryota, Metazoa, Chordata, Lepidosauria, Squamata, Rhineuridae. The record is from RefSeq and is a predicted model, not a curated record. The transcript has a single exon.